Molecule: ribosomal RNA, 253 nt
Filed under: uncultured bacterium
Lineage: Bacteria
Description: partial 16S ribosomal RNA
Rfam family: Bacterial small subunit ribosomal RNA
Source: RNAcentral
UACGUAGGGGGCAAGCGUUGUCCGGAUUUAUUGGGCGUAAAGAGCGUGUAGGCGGCCAGGUAGGUCUGCUGUGAAAACUCGAGGCUUAACCUCGAGAUGUCGGCGGAAACCAUCUGGCUAGAGCCCGGAAGAGGAGAGUGGAAUUCCUGGUGUAGCGGUGAAAUGCGCAGAUAUCAGGAAGAACACCCGUGGCGAAGGCGGCUCUCUGGGACGGUACUGACGCUGAGACGCGAAAGCGUGGGGAGCGAACAGG